GGGCAGUUUGACUGGGGCGGUCGCCUCCUAAAAGGUAACGGAGGCGCCCAAAGGUUCCCUCAGAAUGGUUGGAAAUCAUUCGCAGAGUGUAAAGGCACAAGGGAGCUUGACUGCGAGACCUACAAGGCGAGCAGGGACGAAAGUCGGGCUUAGUGAUCCGGUGGUUCCGCAUGGAAGGGCCAUCGCUCAACGGAUAAAAGCUACCCCGGGGAUAACAGGCUUAUCUCCCCCAAGAGUCCACAUCGACGGGGAGGUUUGGCACCUCGAUGUCGGCUCAUCGCAUCCUGGGGCUGUAGUCGGUCCCAAGGGUUGGGCUGUUC
RNAcentral lists this ribosomal RNA (320 nucleotides) under Bacillus siamensis. Its description in RNAcentral is "bacterial LSU rRNA". It matches the Rfam family "Bacterial large subunit ribosomal RNA", at positions 2263 to 2582 of the family's 2925-position model. The record is from RNAcentral. Lineage: Bacteria; Bacillati; Bacillota; Bacilli; Caryophanales; Bacillaceae.